RNAcentral lists this long non-coding RNA (826 nucleotides) under Takifugu rubripes (torafugu). Its description in RNAcentral is "lncRNA (ENSTRUG00000028909.1)". The record is from RNAcentral. Lineage: Eukaryota; Metazoa; Chordata; Actinopteri; Tetraodontiformes; Tetraodontidae.
GGAUAAGAGGCUGGAUUACAGGCAGACAUUUAUGCACCGAUGUUUAUGACAAUAAUUCAAUAGUAGGAAACAGCUAAUUACUGCUGCACAUGACGGGGUGAUCAGGACCCGAACGCAGGCCAGGACACAGUGGUAAAAUGGUCAAACAAGCUUUAUUUACAGGGGGGAGGGGGCACACAAAGAACACAAGGAACAUGAGGAACACGGAGCACAUGAGGAACACGAGGACAGCCCUCCAGGGCUGCGGCGCACCCGAGGAACACUAGGACAGCCCUCCAGGGCUGCGGAGCACCCGAGGAACACGAGGGCAGCCCUCCAGGGCUGCGGAGCACCUGAGGAACACGAGGGCAGCCCUCCAGGGCUGCGGAGAACCCGAGGAACACGAGGGCAGCCCUCCAGGGCGUAGGGAACAGGGGCGGCCCUCCAGGGCGCAGGGAACAGGGGCGGCCCUCCAGGGCGCAGGGUACAGGGGCGGCCCUCCAGGAGACAUGAAGCUGGAGCAGCCCUCCAGGAGACACAAAGCUGGAGCGGCCCUCCAGGAAACACAGAACACCAGCACACAACGAGGAAGACGAACAGACAGCCUAGAGACCAACAGAACACCCACACAACACAAACAGACACCCUGGCACUGACAGGCAGACGCAACCUGCUUAAAUAGGCAGCCCGAUGUAAAUUGCCUACAGGUGCGCGUGCCAGCAGUGCCAGCUGCCACCAAUUGUGCCCCACACCACCCCCUGUAGGACAACGACCGACACAACCCAAAAACCCUGACAGCACAUCUGUGUUCAGCCCAAUAAACUACCAAAGAAUAGUAAAUAUCUUU